RNAcentral lists this ribosomal RNA (468 nucleotides) under uncultured bacterium. RNAcentral describes it as "partial 16S ribosomal RNA". It matches the Rfam family "Bacterial small subunit ribosomal RNA", at positions 28 to 507 of the family's 1533-position model. The record is from RNAcentral.
GACGAACGCUGGCGGCGUGCUUAACACAUGCAAGUCGAACGGAAAGGCCCUGCUUUUGUGGGGUGCUCGAGUGGCGAACGGGUGAGUAACACGUGAGUAACCUGCCCUUGACUUUGGGAUAACUUCAGGAAACUGGGGCUAAUACCGGAUAGGAGCUCCUGCUGCAUGGUGGGGGUUGGAAAGUUUCGGCGGUUGGGGAUGGACUCGCGGCUUAUCAGCUUGUUGGUGGGGUAGUGGCUUACCAAGGCUUUGACGGGUAGCCGGCCUGAGAGGAUGACCGGCCACAUUGGGACUGAGAUACGGCCCAGACUCCUACGGGAGGCAGCAGUGGGGAAUAUUGCACAAUGGGCGGAAGCCUGAUGCAGCAACGCCGCGUGCGGGAUGACGGCCUUCGGGUUGUAAACCGCUUUCGCCUGUGACGAAGCGUGUGUGACGGUAAUGGGUAAAGAAGCACCGGCUAACUACGUG